Salvia splendens (bonfire salvia) is the source of this 1348-nucleotide long non-coding RNA. RefSeq lists it as uncharacterized. NCBI's taxonomy places the organism in Eukaryota, Viridiplantae, Streptophyta, Magnoliopsida, Lamiales, Lamiaceae. The record is from RefSeq and is a predicted model, not a curated record. The transcript has 2 exons.
UUUUCAAUUCUAAUCUAUGUUUAAACUCUUGUCGACCUUUUAGCUUGAUAAUAUGCUAUGUCAACUGUAUGUAUCUAUGUGAAAACACAAAAUUAUACAUACAAACUCAACAUUCUCCAAGGUGUUAUGUUUUGUGACUUGUGAGUGUAGAUGAUAGCUUGUUUACAUGUGCUUGAAGUUGAGUGUAUGAGUUUGGUUGAACUACCUCCAAUUACAUAAUAUACAUUAGUUUCUGCCCCUUCAUAAAGCUUUAGUGUUUUUGGGUGUGUGGUUCAUAACUAGGUUUUCUGACUGUUUAUAUCAUUGACUACUAGAUUCUUGGUUUCUAUCGAAUUUGAUAAUGAGUGCUGUUAUCACCAUCUUGGAAGUUGUGAAGGAGACAUUAUGUUGAUGUAAAGAUAACAUAUGAGAUACAUUGACUGAUCAAUUUUAGACUUUUAGUGUCAUAUAGUGUAUCAUUUUUAGAGACUUGGAAGUGGUGGAAAGCUUGUGAACGUGGAGUUGAGCUUAGGCUUCUAGCUUAAACUUUUUACCAGUGUUCUUUGUUGUCCUGUGUUCUAUAAGUUUUGUUGUUACAAUCGGAUAAUAUCUUAAGAUUAUUGUUGGAGCCAAGAAGAUUGAUCUUUCUAAAAAUUUGGUUAUUUUGCUCUUAAUGUAUGUUUUUUUUAUGCUGUGUCAUGUGUGUCUGUGUUUUCCCCUCUUUUUAUUUGUAGGUCGUGUAAGUACACGUUUACCAUGAUUCUUUUUAGGCUUUGCUUCUUUACUUUGCCCCUUCAUUGGGUGCCUUUGUCACAAUCAUGCCCUUGUCCAGCCACUGUCGCCAAUUGCUCCUUUAGCUAGUAGCAUCUCGCACACACAAGGGGGAUAACUUUGGGCUGAAAGUUAUUAGUGCAAGAAUAGUACCAGAACAUCAAAGAAGUUGUCAGCAACAUUGCCCAAGUCUCCACCUCUAGACAAUUCUUCUUUUGUGUUUCUUUCCCUCAAGUCUGCAAGCAUGGGUAUGAGCCACCUCCAGACUCAACGUGUCUAGGUUUUAAUCGUUUCCCUUAGGACAAGGCUGUUUCGACAUUGGGAUUAUUAAUAUCCAAUUAUCCAUCAGAGAAAGUGUGCAGAUGGAUUUUGUAGGGGGAAGUUGUUGUGGGUAGUUAUUAGAAUAGUGGGUUGAGUUAGUUAUGCUAUUAUGUGUAGUUAUUAUUUAUACCACUUGGAUUAGAGAAGGUGGUUAUCUAUGUUAUGAAUUGAACGUGUAAUCCAGAAAGUGCCGUGGAAGACUAAGUUAAUGAAUCUCCCUUGUAGUUCGACAGUACAUUCAUGAAUGCAUGAUGCGUAUGACUUCCGUUUCCAUAAA